AGUGAACGCUGGCGGCAGGCCUAAUACAUGCAAGUCGAACGGCAGCACAGUGGAGCUUGCUCCAUGGGUGGCGAGUGGCGGACGGGUGAGGAAUACAUGGGAAUCUGCCCAGUCGUGGGGGAUAACGUAUGGAAACGUACGCUAAUACCGCAUGCGCCCUUCGGGGGAAAGUCGGGGACCGCAAGGCCUGACGCGAUUGGAUGAGCCCAUGUUCGAUUAGCUAGUUGGCGGGGUAACGGCCCACCAAGGCGACGAUCGAUAGCUGGUCUGAGAGGAUGAUCAGCCACACUGGAACUGAGACACGGUCCAGACUCCUACGGGAGGCAGCAGUAGGGAAUAUUGGACAAUGGGGCGCAAGCCUGAUCCAGCCAUGCCGCGUGAGUGAAGAAGGCCCUCGGGUUGUAAAGCUCUUUGUUGGGUAAGAAAGCAGUUGGUUAAUACCCGAUUGUUCUGACGGUACCCAAAGAAUAAGCACCGGCUAACUUCGUGCCAGCAGCCG
This 499-nucleotide ribosomal RNA is filed under the name uncultured bacterium. RNAcentral's name for it is "bacterial SSU rRNA". It matches the Rfam family "Bacterial small subunit ribosomal RNA", at positions 29 to 517 of the family's 1533-position model. The record is from RNAcentral.